Daphnia carinata is the source of this 2059-nucleotide long non-coding RNA. RefSeq lists it as uncharacterized. The record is from RefSeq and is a predicted model, not a curated record. The transcript has 9 exons. Lineage: Eukaryota; Metazoa; Arthropoda; Branchiopoda; Diplostraca; Daphniidae.
CAUCUUUGAUUAGUCUGGUGAUCGACAAUUGGUGACAUUUGAUCUCAACACAAGUGAAAGUCACGUUUUACGAUUCGCCAUUAGAAUGAAUGGGCCUAGACGUCAACAUCGACAUCACUGUCCAGGACCUGACAGGCCACUAGAAAUCAUUUACGUACGUACAUUCUUCUUGUAACGGAGGCAUUACGUGGUCUCUGCUUAAACUUAUUCAACCACAGCAGACAAAAGAAGAAUCAACUCAAGUGAUUCGAAUUCAAUUAACGUCAGAUGCCCAUGGCUGGAUCAGAUGGCUCCACUGAUGGUGUGGUCUUCUUCGAAGGCCGAGGACCACGUUCGUUGCAAACAAUAGAAAUCGACACCAGGAAUUUGAGGAUGUUGCAGUUCACCCUCCUGUAACAAGCUUACCCAUUUACAUAGAAAGCUGUUGUCUGGCUGCGAAACAUAAAUUGUUGUCCACAGAGAUUCCCGCUGCUAGCCUUCUUGUUCUCAACUAUAGUAACGAUAAUGGACUGACCUGGAACGUGUUGGAAGCCUGGCCUUUGAACACGGAAGUCGACGAAAUAAGGCUAGGCUGUAAUUUACCCGAUUUCGCCAGAACUAUUGUUAGAUGGUGGCAACUUACCUAUCCGAACGCCAAUCAUCAAGAUAGGCUUCAGUGGUACUUGGACGAUGUAUUGGUCAACUUGAACUUAGGAACCCAAUCCUUUCCGAAUAUGAGAUUCAAUCGGAUGAACCUGUCGAAGACCAACAAUUGAACGACAUGGCUGAUAUUGUUAAUAGCACCGAUGGAACAAUUAUGGGUUGGAUGGGAGGGCAGGGCUUGAUAUUUCGUGAACAGCUUGAUCCUGACGACACAUUACUGGGACAAGCUGGUUUGGAAGAUGGAUUUUCAUUGUCGUGUGCGGAAACAUGGGACAUGGAAAUUAGCGACCUUUGUUCAGUUCCAGCCAAUAUUACCAGUAGGCAUUCAUUCAGGAACAGCAGAGGUCCGUUUUGAAUAUUCGACAGAUAUGGGUCGCCGCUGGAAUAUGGUCGAAGAGGAAUGUUACAGUUUGUAUCAACUGAGCCAACAAUGUGAAUACCUCCAUCCGCCUAGUAGAUAUUUAAUAAAUAGCAAGAAUAAUUCCACUCGGAUUACCGUACAUCUACCCAGACGCUCCAUAAUGGGAUCGACACGAUUCUGCUGGAUCAGCGAAAAUGGACAAGACCGUGGACCGAUGGUGUGGGGUGUUGCGCGAGUCUAUAUCGGUGGUACAUGUCCGUGGAUGUGUUCUGGCCAUGGAACAUGCCAGAAUGGGCAAUGCGAUUGCGAUGCAGCAUACGGUAAUGUUGAUUGUGUCCCAAUCAAUCCUCUUCCUCGAGGCCUUCUGAGCCAUUUCGACAAAGAUUCCAACUUAGCCCGCCUUUCUGGUGGAGAUCUAUCUACUGGAUGUGGAGUAUUAAUGACAGUCCCUGCUGCUAUGCUCCCACAAGGACGGCCUUCGCCACUUUGAAUCAAUAGACUUGGACCUAACAUUAGCAUCUUAUGCCCAAAUGACUAUCAAAUUCGAUUGCUGGGCCGAAGCUGAAAGCUACGUCAACUCACUAGAACCGUUACAUCAGCGAUUCCUUUGGCAGUACUCUGUUAACGGCGGUAUUACUUUUAUUCUCAUUCAGGGUUUCUUAACGUCUAUUAAUGCGCCUUACGCACGUAAAAAGGAAAUCAAAAUACUCACCCAGCACGAGCCCCACCUCGUGAUUGUCAACCUAAUGCGGAUUCCAGAUCUUACAAAUUGUGCACGGCUGCGUCUGGGGCAACCUGUUCACGCUGGUGAAGGUUUGGAUACUUGGGCUAUUGACGACUUGGUUCUUCAUAGCACAAUGCCAUUGGGUAUAAUUCUAACUAACGACUCUCGACAACUCAACGAUCAAGAUUCUUUUUAGCUAACUUGGUUCGGUGGCCAACUUCACUCGUUUUGUUCCAGAGAUGAUGUGUUAGUUUUUCAAGGUGAACUAGGAGAGCAACAAGCGUUUACGGGAGAUUUCAUGAUUACAUCCGAAACUGUUCUUCAGUUUGAGG